This is a long non-coding RNA of Oncorhynchus tshawytscha (Chinook salmon), 1014 nucleotides long. The record is from Ensembl. Lineage: Eukaryota; Metazoa; Chordata; Actinopteri; Salmoniformes; Salmonidae.
GCUCCUUGCAGGCAGAUUAGCUGUCAAAGUGCUUUAUAGGCAGAUGCAUACCUGAUGCAGGGGGUUAGCUCUAUGGAGCUCCACAGUGGAUGUGUCAUAAUACCCAUAAAACAUAGCGGUGAAACACAGGAAUGGUUCCAAUCGUUUUUUCCAUAGGGGAUUUCAGAACCACUUCAAACAAGGUCUGUGUUUCAUGUAGGCUUUCCCUGCCAUGAUGUUUUCAUAGAGAUUUACACUUAUCGAACAACGUAACCUUUAUAAAUAUAUUCAUCUCUAUUAACGCAGAUUAGAAAAUGGUAAUUAUCAAAGUAGACAUCAUGCAAGACUACAAAUCCUUGCAAGCACCCCAUCUAUCUUCAGAGUUCGUUCUGCUAGGUGACCUAAACUGGGAUAUGCUUAACAUCCCGGAAGCCCUACAAUCUAAGCUAGAUGCCCUCAAUCUCACACAAAUUAUCAAGGAACCCACCAGGUACAACCCUAAAUCCGUAAACAUGGGCACCCUCAUAGAUAUUAUCCUGACCAACUUGCCCUCUGCUGUUUUCAAUCAGGAUCUCAGCGAUCACUGCCUCAUUGCCUGCAUCUGCUAUGGGUCCGUGGUCAAACGACCACCCCUCAUCACUGUCAAACGCUCCCUAAAACAGGCCUUUCUAAUCAACCUGGGCCGGGAAUCCUGGAAGGAUAUUGACCUCAUCUUGUCAGUCGAGGAUGCCUGGUCGUUCUUUAAAAAAAAAAAAAGAAUAUGUUUAUUAUUUUACAAUAAAAAAAAUCAAAUAAAAAAGACAGCAAUACUAACAAUGACAUUCAUUGUACUGUUGAAUGGGAUGGCCAAUUUAGAGGACAAACAAAACUUAACUCACAAAUACACAAAAUAAAACAAAAUCCUAUUAGAUGGUACAUGUAUAAGAAGACAGCAUAUAGUCAUUACAAGCAGUGUAGUUAAGCCAAAAAUAAAUAUUGAGUGGAGUGGAGUGCAGCACAGAGGAGCAGCAGAUCAACAACCAAGUUAUGAAGCGG